UUUUAUAAUUAAAUUAAUUUUAAAUUAUUUAUUAAUUAUUUUAUUAAAAUUAUUUUAAUUAUUUUGUUGGGGUGACAAAAAAAUAAGUAAAACUUUUUUUAGUUUUUAACAUAUAUAAGUGAAUAAAUGAUCCAAUUUUAUUGAUU
RNAcentral lists this ribosomal RNA (146 nucleotides) under Eupithecia centaureata. RNAcentral's name for it is "partial large subunit ribosomal RNA". The record is from RNAcentral. Lineage: Eukaryota; Metazoa; Arthropoda; Insecta; Lepidoptera; Geometridae.